This is a long non-coding RNA of Balaenoptera ricei (Rice's whale), 2147 nucleotides long. RefSeq lists it as uncharacterized. The transcript is spliced from 3 exons. The record is from RefSeq and is a predicted model, not a curated record. Lineage: Eukaryota; Metazoa; Chordata; Mammalia; Artiodactyla; Balaenopteridae.
CUCAACCAUGUACAAAUUAAAAUUUUCUGGGUGGAAAAAGCAUAACCAAAAUCAAAAGACAAAUGACAAACUGGGAGUCUUAAGUUAAUGGACACAUUGGCCAUUUCAGUCUUUUUCUGCUGCAAACAGUGACACUAAAACUCUCCAUCUGCAGCUGUCACUUCACGGAUUUCCAAGGACACCUGUCGGGUAAAGCACUGCAGCAUGGACAGCGGGUGGAAGGCAGGGCAGGGGCAGUAUAAUUUGAGUGGACAUUGCUGACUUGUCUCCUGCCUGUUUUUCUACAUCCUUGCCAAAACAAUGAUAGCAAACUUUAAUUUUUCCUACUCUAGUAAGUGAGUAAUUGCGGCUGGUCUGAUGUGCGCUGGCUCUGACUCUGGGGACGGAGCCCACCUAGGCAGGCACAAUGGGCGGCUGCCAGGAGCCACCCUUCCCCCGCUGCUUUUGGGAGCCUCCAGCAAAGAGGGUGGACCUGCCCAAGGCCGCUUUCUCGGUGUCCCCUGCAGCUGAGCCCUGAGGAGACACCUGUGGAGGGGGACCCACCUUCCUGUGGACACCAAACGUGGACGGCAGAUGGCUCUGGGAGAGGCAGGCAGAGGGUGACGCCCGGGCCCCCUUGGCUCUGUCCUCACGACCCUGCCCCGAGGCGGGAGGAGACCUGCCUUCCACUGGACUGUCUCUACUUCCCACCAGCCUUGUCCACUGAAAAUGCCCAAAGCAGUCUUAGCUCAUUGGCAGUAGCGCCCCUGGAAAGAGACAUGGGACACGUGUGCUGUGGCCACACGCCUACAGUUGAGAAUCAAUCAACCGGAGUUCUCAUUUGCCAGCAACAGGACUCCACACCGCACUCAACACAGGGGGGCUUUGUUGGUGCGUGUUCUCGAUGGCGGAGCCAGAACUAGGCUUGGACACAGAUGGGGGGCCUGGGCACAGGGAACACAGCUGGGGCCCAGCAGACCUGCCCCUUCUGUGAUGAACUGGACAUCCAGUUGUGUCCACUUCCUUAAACCUGCAUGUAAGCCCCAUGGGAGCAUCUGAUUUGCCUCACCUGGGGUAAGUGUUGUCCCCAUGGUGAAUGGGGUGGGAGGGGAAGAUCUCCAGCAGCAGGCGUGAUGAAAGAAUAUCCAAAAAGGAGAUGGGGCUGCAGGUAGGAAGGCACACAGAUGACCACUAAAAAUGUAAUUUCAUCGAGGUUCUGCUUAGAAAAGAAACAACCAAAAAUUGAAGGUGAACAUAACUUAAGACCCAGCAAUCCCAUUCUAAAUGUCUAUAUACUGAGUGUCUAAACACUAAGAAGUCUCCCACCUGUGUGCAAAGAGACGUUAGCAAGGAUGUUGAUUGUAGUAAUGGAGUAAGAGUGGGAAAAAGAGGGAACUUAAAUGUCAUCAAGAAGAAUGUGAUCUAUUCACAUAGUGAAAUACUAUUACCAGUUAAAUGAACUAAAACGAUGUGUCAACUUGAAUAAAUUUUGACUGUGUAAAUGAGUGAAAAGGUCAAAUGUACACUAUGGUAGCAUUUAUAUAAAGUUUAGAAACAUACAAAGCCGUGUAAGCAUGUAUAUAUUUUCAGAAUAUGUUUAUAUGCAGCAUAGGUAUAAAAACCUGGAUGGAGAGGAACGGACCGAUGUCCAGAGACAGUUCUCCGACCUUCUACACGUCAGCACGUCUUGCAGGCGAGGCCCUGCCUGCCUUGUGUUCUGCACUAUCUUUAGAAGGAUGUUCGUGUAGGUAACAGACUUGGGAGACAGAGAUGUGUAUCCUUCAGCUCCUCUCCUGUAACACAGCCCGCUAUGCUGGCAGGUGCCAUCUGGCCCUCUUGGCAUGGCCCUGUGAGAAUUGGGGCUCAGAAUAUUGGUGCAAAAAUGCUAAUACUGCUAUUGCUGUGGGUAAUGAAUGGUCCCUUGUCUCUGACCCUGGAGUUGCAUGCCUUCUGCCAGCAUCCAAGACACUGUAACAGGCGAUAUUAUCAGCUUACAAAUGGGGGAAAUUUUCAGAUUCUUCAUAACUCUUGACAAUUACCUUCAGGCUAAGCGUUGUCUCUAGGAAGGGAGGAAGGGGCCUCGAAUAAGAGAGGGGUCAAAGGGAGGCUGUACAUUUCAUUUCUCAAGAAAAAGCUCUGAAACAAACAUGGCCAUGUGAUAGUAUAUA